ACAGCAAUUUCUUCAAGUACCGACAAGCUCUGUGGACCUACAGCAACUAACCCUGUGACCAAGACUUCACAAGCAAAGAAGCACCCUCUAACCAGAGCUGACAGUUUGCUAGUGUCAAAGAGGAAGAAAAUGGAUGCUUCUGAUCCAUGCAAUAGUGUCGGAGCUCCAGUAUCUGCCAGUGAUGCUACAAACAAAGCGACAAUCCUCAAGCAGCCCAGUAAGAGAGCUUUGCCUGCCAAAGCUCAAGGA
This is a non-coding RNA of Maylandia zebra (zebra mbuna), 249 nucleotides long. NCBI's taxonomy places the organism in Eukaryota, Metazoa, Chordata, Actinopteri, Cichliformes, Cichlidae. The record is from RefSeq and is a predicted model, not a curated record.